Non-coding RNA from Chelonoidis abingdonii (Abingdon island giant tortoise), 169 nucleotides. NCBI's taxonomy places the organism in Eukaryota, Metazoa, Chordata, Testudines, Testudinidae. The record is from RefSeq and is a predicted model, not a curated record.
CCAAGAAGUUGCAGAAGACAAAGGCAUUCAGUUCAGCAAACAAACCAUUGCAGCUAUUUCAGAGAUCACCUUUAGACAAUGUGACAUGGAAAACGAACUGUAAUCAAUUCAGAAGAUGUGAAGCUUUUGGCCAGGAGGAGCAGCUCUUUGCUAAGGUAUAUCACCCAGA